This 1890-nucleotide ribosomal RNA is filed under the name human gut metagenome. Its description in RNAcentral is "bacterial LSU rRNA". It matches the Rfam family "Bacterial large subunit ribosomal RNA", at positions 3 to 1983 of the family's 2925-position model. The record is from RNAcentral.
UUAAGCUAAGAAGAGCGUAGGGAGAAUGCCUUGGCAUUAGGAGCCGAUGAAGGACGUGAUAAGCUGCGAUAAGCUGCGGGGAUCAGCAAGUAUGAAUUGAUCCGCAGAUUUCCGAAUGGAGCAAUCCGUAUGUGUAUGCACAUACAUCAUAUACUGAAUCAAAUAGGUAUAUGAGGGGAACCGCCUGAACUGAAACAUCUAAGUAGGGCGAGGAAGAGAAAUCAACCGAGAUUCUGUGAGUAGUGGCGAGCGAAAGCGGAAGAGGCUAAACCAUAGGUAGCAAUACUUAUGGGGUUUCGGACAGCAUUUAGUAUUGAUAAUUUCUAGUUGAAACGUGUGGGAAAACGUACCGAAGAGUGUGAGAGUCACGUAAGCGAAAGAGAGAGUCAGCGAGCUGUAUCCAAAGUACCGCGGGACACGUGAAACCUCGUGGGAAGAUGGGGGGACCAUCCUCCAAGCCUAAAUACUACCUAAUGACCGAUAGCGAAUAGUACUGUGAAGGAACGGUGAAAAGAACCCCGGGAGGGGAGUGAAAAAGAACCUGAAACCCUAUGCUUACAAGCACCGAGAGCACGUCAAAGUGUGAUCGGGUACCUUUUGUAGAAUGGUCCGGCGAGUUAUUGUAUGCGGCAAGGUUAAGUGCUUAAGGCACGGAGCCGAAGCGAGAGCAAGUCUGAAUAGGGCGAAAGAGUCGUAUGCAAUAGACCCGAAACCGAGUGACCUAUCCAUGUCCAGGCUGAAGUGGAGGUAAAACUCCAUGGAGGGCCGAACACACGUCCGUUGAAAAGGCCGGUGAUGAGGUGUGGAUAGCGGAGAAAUUCCAAUCGAACUCGGAUAUAGCUGGUUCUCUCCGAAAUAGCUUUAGGGCUAGCCUCGUGAAAGAUUACUGGAGGUAAAGCACUGAAUGGGCUAGGGGUCGAAAGAUUACUGAACCCUAUCAAACUAAGAAUGCCAGAUAAUUGAUUCACGGGAGUCAGACAAUGUGAGAUAAGUCUCAUUGUCAAAAGGGAAACAGCCCAGACCCACAGCUAAGGUCCCUAAACAUUGUUAAGUGGAAAAGGAUGUGGGGUUGCAUAAACAACCAGGAUGUUGGCUUAGAAGCAGCCACUCAUUAAAAGAGUGCGUAAUAGCUCACUGGUCGAGUGACCCUGCGCCGAAAAUUCAACGGGGCUAAACAAUGUACCGAAGCUUGGGAUUCUAAAGUAAUUUAGAGUGGUAGGAGAGCGUCGAAUAAGGGGUGAAGUCAGAGCGGAAGCGCUGGUGGACUUUAUUCGAGUGAGAAUGCCGGAAUGAGUAGCGAGAAUUAUGUGAGAAUCAUAAUGGCCGAAAAUCUAAGGUUUCCUGAGGAAGGUUCGUCCGCUCAGGGUAAGCCGGGGGCUAAGGCGAGGCGGAGACGCGUAGCCGAUGCACAUACGGUUGAAAUUCCGUAGCCACCGAAAGAUUUAAGUACAGGGACGCUUUAGAAGUGAUGUUGCCGGGCGAUGGUUGACCCGGUCGUAAGGGAUCGAAAAUGAGUAGAGAAGUCAUCAUGGAAAGAGACAAGAAAAGCUGUAUGAAUAUCUUAGGUGCCCGUACCGCAAACCGACACAGGUAGAUAGGAAGAAGAUUCUAAGGCCAACGGGAGAAGGGUUGUUAAGGAACUCGGCAAGUUGACCCCGUAACUUAGGGAUAAGGGGUGCUCAAGUGAUUGAGCCGCAGAGAAUAGGCCCAGGCGACUGUUUAGCAAAAACACAGGUCUCUGCUAAAUCGAAAGAUGACGUAUAGGGGCUGACACCUGCCCGGUGCCGGAAGGUUAAGAGGAGAUGUGAGAGCAUUGAAUUGAAGCCCCGGUAAACGGCGGCCGUAACUAUAACGGUCCUAAGGUAGCGAAAUUCCUUGUCAGGUAAGUUC